RNAcentral lists this ribosomal RNA (253 nucleotides) under uncultured bacterium. RNAcentral's name for it is "partial 16S ribosomal RNA". It matches the Rfam family "Bacterial small subunit ribosomal RNA", at positions 524 to 776 of the family's 1533-position model. The record is from RNAcentral.
UACGAAGGGUGCAAGCGUUACUCGGAAUUACUAGGCGUAAAGCGUGCGUAGGCGGUUCGUUAAGUCUGUCGUGAAAGCCCUGGGCUCAACCUGGGAAUUGCGAUGGAUACUGGCGAGCUAGAGUACGGUAGAGGAUGGUGGAAUUCCCGGUGUAGCGGUGAAAUGCGUAGAUAUCUGGAGGAACACCGGUGGCGAAGGCGGCAUCCUGGACCGGCAUUGACGCUGAGGCGCGAAAGCUAGGGGAGCAAACGGG